ACGCUCGACACCUACGGAGGCAGCAGUAGGGAAUCUUCCACAAUGGGCGCAAGCCUGAUGGAGCAACACCGCGUGAGUGAAGAAGGGUUUCGGCUCGUAAAGCUCUGUUGUUGGAGAAGAACGUGCGUGAGAGUAACUGUUCACGCAGUGACGGUAUCCAACCAGAAAGUCACGGCUAACUACGUGGCAGCAGCCGCGGUAAUCUGAGCGGGCUGGCAAGGC
This 222-nucleotide ribosomal RNA is filed under the name uncultured bacterium. RNAcentral's name for it is "partial 16S ribosomal RNA". It matches the Rfam family "Bacterial small subunit ribosomal RNA", at positions 328 to 539 of the family's 1533-position model. The record is from RNAcentral.